GGUCAGGGUAGGCCUAGGGAUGUGGACACUUCAGCAUAAUUUACCCACCUUUACGUUUUUAUUUUUAUUUUUUUAUCUCAUAUGUUUUAUACAGAUUGGAUACAUACAAUUGACUCCAGCCUCCCCCACCAGACUCUCUGUCAACUACUAUACUUAGUGCUUGGAUCCGUACAUUUCUCCUAAUUCCAUUCUCAUAGCCCAUAAAAAUGGAUCAAACAUCUUCUAGACUUAGACUCAUCUGACAUUCAAGCUGCUUUUUUCAUAGUCUAUAAACAUAUACCUAUACCCACGUAUUGAGAGAUGCACAUGAAAAUCUUUCUCUACACAUAAUACUCAUCAAAACAUCAACAACAACUUGGAUUGAGAGUUUUGGUGGAUUGCCCUAAGUGUGGAGGAGAGGAGUUUGGAUCUCUACCAUUGUUUCCAUUGUGUUCUGAGAGGAGCAAGUCUUGGAGAUACGUUAAUUCCUACUUGAAUUCUAUCACAUUGCUAAACAUAUCUUUAAUCUCAUGUAAUAGGCAUUUCCCCUUUUAUUUUAAAUCCCACAUGAAAUGUAUACAUAUGGUCCUGGCUACUACUAGGAAAUCAAUAUUACAUAAUUGGAUUUAAUCACUGGAACCUGAAGCCCCUACUAUCAAUUUAAUGAAAGUUAAACUUCUCCGUGGCUUUAAAAUAGAUGGAUUGAAUCCAUGUUACAAAAAGCUGACAAGGUAAAACGGUUUUUCCAGAUCUGGAAAGGAUAUAUCAAUUCACUUGAGAUGAACACAAG
Pelobates cultripes (western spadefoot toad) is the source of this 769-nucleotide non-coding RNA. Lineage: Eukaryota; Metazoa; Chordata; Amphibia; Anura; Pelobatidae. The record is from the annotation of a GenBank genome assembly.